GGGUCGUUAGCUCAGCUGGUAGAGCAGCGGACUUUUAAUCCGUUGGUCGCAGGUUCAAAUCCCGCACGACCCACCA
Molecule: transfer RNA, 76 nt
Filed under: Coxiella sp. RIFCSPHIGHO2_12_FULL_42_15
Lineage: Bacteria; Pseudomonadati; Pseudomonadota; Gammaproteobacteria; Legionellales; Coxiellaceae
Description: tRNA-Lys
Rfam family: tRNA
About the family: Transfer RNA (tRNA) molecules are approximately 80 nucleotides in length. Their secondary structure includes four short double-helical elements and three loops (D, anti-codon, and T loops). Further hydrogen bonds mediate the characteristic L-shaped molecular structure. tRNAs have two regions of fundamental functional importance: the anti-codon, which is responsible for specific mRNA codon recognition, and the 3' end, to which the tRNAs corresponding amino acid is attached (by aminoacyl-tRNA synthetases). tRNAs cope with the degeneracy of the genetic code in two manners: having more than one tRNA (with a specific anti-codon) for a particular amino acid; and 'wobble' base-pairing, i.e. permitting non-standard base-pairing at the 3rd anti-codon position.
Source: RNAcentral